ACUUUGAAACGCGGACGCCAGUUCGUGUGGAGUCGUCGUUGAAAUACCAGUCUGGUCGUGCUGGAUGUCUAACCUGGGUCCGUGAUCCGGAUCAGGGACAGUGUCUGAUGGGUAGUUUAACUGGGGCGGUUGCCUCCUAAAGGGUAACGGAGGCGCCCAAAGGUUCCCUCAGCCUGGUUGGCAAUCAGGUGUUGAGUGUAAGUGCACAAGGGAGCUUGACUGUGAGACCGACGGGUCGAGCAGGGACGAAAGUCGGGACUAGUGAUCCGGCGGUGGCUUGUGGAAGCGCCGUCGCUCAACGGAUAAAAGGUACCCCGGGGAUAACAGGCUGAUCUUCCCCAAGAGUCCAUAUCGACGGGAUGGUUUGGCACCUCGAUGUCGGCUCGUCGCAUCCUGGGGCUGGAGUCGGUCCCAAGGGUUGGGCUGUUCGCCCAUUAAAGCGGUACGCGAGCUGGGUUUAGAACGUCGUGAGACAGUUCGGUCCCUAUCCGCUGUGCGCGUAGGAGUCUUGAGAAGGGCUGUCCCUAGUACGAGAGGACCGGGACGGACGAACCUCUGGUGUGCCAGUUGUUCUGCCAAGGGCAUGGCUGGUUGGCUACGUUCGGGAGGGAUAACCGCUGAAAGCAUCUAAGCGGGAAGCCUGCUUCGAGAUGAGGACUCCCACCCACUUGAUGGGGUAAGGCUCCCAGUAGACGACUGGGUUGAUAGGCCGGAUCUGGAAGCCAGGUAACUGGUGGAGGUGACCGGUACUAAUAGGCCGAGGGCUUGUCCUC
This 773-nucleotide ribosomal RNA is filed under the name Streptomyces sp. HGB0020. RNAcentral's name for it is "bacterial LSU rRNA". It matches the Rfam family "Bacterial large subunit ribosomal RNA", at positions 2154 to 2925 of the family's 2925-position model. The record is from RNAcentral. Lineage: Bacteria; Bacillati; Actinomycetota; Actinomycetes; Kitasatosporales; Streptomycetaceae.